GUGCUUACUUUAGAAGCACAGAUAAUAACAAGGGAAAUACACAGAGAAGAUCAGCAUGGUCCUUGUGCAAGGAUAACACACAAAUUCAUAAAGCAUGCCUAUUAAAA
Small nuclear RNA from Vombatus ursinus (common wombat), 107 nucleotides. The record is from Ensembl. Lineage: Eukaryota; Metazoa; Chordata; Mammalia; Diprotodontia; Vombatidae.